RNAcentral lists this long non-coding RNA (249 nucleotides) under Carica papaya (papaya). RNAcentral describes it as "long non-coding RNA (CPAP_LNC014229)". The record is from RNAcentral. Lineage: Eukaryota; Viridiplantae; Streptophyta; Magnoliopsida; Brassicales; Caricaceae.
UGCCUCAUCGGAGGCAAAAAUCGAGGGAAGCCGCGGCGGCGCCGCUAGACUUCGGCGGUGUUUUUCAGCCGGUUGGCCGGUGGUUUGGCUCUAAUUUGGCCAUAGGCGGAUUAAGCAUCGAAAAUGAGCCAAUGGGAGAAAAUUUACCUCGUUUGGUAGUAAGAAAAUCCUCCGGUGCGGCAGCGGGUGGCGACGGCCUGCUCCUCCGGUGACUGGGUCUUCUUCUCCGGCAAGGGUACUGGCAGCUAG